Molecule: ribosomal RNA, 423 nt
Filed under: uncultured prokaryote
Also listed under: 1 other name
Description: bacterial SSU rRNA
Rfam family: Bacterial small subunit ribosomal RNA
Source: RNAcentral
UGAGGAAUAUUGGUCAAUGGACGAGAGUCUGAACCAGCCAAGUAGCGUGAAGGAUGACUGCCCUAUGGGUUGUAAACUUCUUUUGUUUGGGAAUAAAGUGAGGGACGUGUCCCUUUUUGUAUGUACCAUUCGAAUAAGCAUCGGCUAAUUCCGUGCCAGCAGCCGCGGUAAUACGGAAGAUGCGAGCGUUAUCCGGAUUUAUUGGGUUUAAAGGGAGCGUAGGCGGCCUGUUAAGUCAGCGGUUAAAUGUCAGUGCCCAACAUUGGCAUGCCGUUGAUACUGGUGGGCUUGAAUACACACAAGGAUGGUGGAAUUCGUUGUGUAGCGGUGAAAUGCUUAGAUAUGACGAAGAACUCCGAUUGCGAAGGCAGCCAUCUGGGGUGCGAUUGACGCUGAGGCUCGAAAGUGCGGGAAUCAAACAGG